GCGAGUGUGGUGCAGUGGUUUGAACAUUGGACUAGGAAUCUGGAGAGUAUGGUUCGAUUCCUUGCUCAGCCA
This is a non-coding RNA of Phrynosoma platyrhinos (Desert horned lizard), 72 nucleotides long. The record is from the annotation of a GenBank genome assembly. Lineage: Eukaryota; Metazoa; Chordata; Lepidosauria; Squamata; Phrynosomatidae.